This 324-nucleotide unclassified non-coding RNA is filed under the name Hevea brasiliensis (rubber tree). The record is from RNAcentral. Lineage: Eukaryota; Viridiplantae; Streptophyta; Magnoliopsida; Malpighiales; Euphorbiaceae.
AAACAAUUGAGGAUGUGGACGAGACUAUCAAGCCAAAGUUAAAACCUUUGCACUGGGAUAAAGUUAGAGCGAGCUCCGACCGAGAAAUGGUUUGGGAUCAGCUCAGGUCAAGCUCCUUCAAGUUGAACGAGGAGAUGAUGGAAACGCUGUUUGUUGUAAACACUCCAAACCCAAAACCAAACCAGACAACUCCACGUUCUGUUAUUCCAUCACCAAACCAAGAGAAUAGGGUACUUGAUCCCAAAAAGGCGCAGAACAUAGCAAUUUUGCUCAGGGCACUCAAUGUGACAAUUGAGGAAGUUUGUGAAGCCCUUUUAGAAGGCA